This 236-nucleotide unclassified non-coding RNA is filed under the name uncultured Gymnopus. RNAcentral describes it as "sequence contains ITS1". The record is from RNAcentral. Lineage: Eukaryota; Fungi; Basidiomycota; Agaricomycetes; Agaricales; Tricholomataceae.
UUGAAACUUCUUUGGAGAUUAGUACUGUUGCUGGCCUUGUAAUGAGGCAUGUGCACGUCUAUCUCUAAUCUAUUCAUCCACCUGUGCACUUUUUGUAGGAGUUCUUUAAAGGUUGGCUUGUGUAGGCUGAAAGGCUUGUGCAAUGUUGACUUGAAGAGGCUUCUAUGUCUUACAAACCUAUUGAAGUAUGUUCAGAAUGUCUUUUAUUGGGACUUAAAUGACCCUUUAAACUUAUA